GGGUCAGUAGGUUGGUCGUGCCACCGGUACGUACUGGUCUCACUGAUUCCUCCUUCCUGAAGAACCGUAAUGCCAUUAAUUUGGUGUUGCGGGGAAACAGGACUGUUACUUUGAAAAAAUUAGAGUGUUUAAAGCAAGAUAACGCUUGAAUACAUUAGCACGGAAUAAUGAAAUAGGACGAUCGAUCCUAUUUUGUUGGUUUCUAGGAUUGACGUA
Molecule: ribosomal RNA, 216 nt
Filed under: Glomeromycotina sp.
Lineage: Eukaryota; Fungi; Glomeromycota
Description: partial small subunit ribosomal RNA
Rfam family: Eukaryotic small subunit ribosomal RNA (bases 40-216)
Source: RNAcentral